CUACGGGAGGCACCAGUGGGGAAUAUUGCACAAUGGAGGAAACUCUGAUGCAGCAACGCCGCGUGGAGGAUGACACUUUUCGGAGCGUAAACUCCUCUUAUAUAGGAAGAAGAUGACGGUACUAUAUGAAUAAGCGCCGGCUAACUCCGUGCCAGCAGCCGCGGUAAUACGGAGGGCGCAAGCGUUACUCGGAAUCACUGGGCGUAAAGAGCGUGUAGGCGGAUUAAAAAGUCAGAAGUGAAAUCCUAUAGCUUAACUAUAGAACUGCUUCUGAAACUCUUAAGCUAGAAUAUGGGAGAGGUAGAUGGAAUUCCUGGUGUAGGGGUAAAAUCCGUAGAGAUCAGAAGGAAUACCGAUUGCGAAGGCGAUCUACUAGAACAUUAUUGACGCUGAGACGCGAAAGCGUGGGGAGCAAACAGGAUUAGAUACCCGGGUAGUC
RNAcentral lists this ribosomal RNA (439 nucleotides) under uncultured bacterium. RNAcentral's name for it is "partial 16S ribosomal RNA". It matches the Rfam family "Bacterial small subunit ribosomal RNA", at positions 339 to 795 of the family's 1533-position model. The record is from RNAcentral.